RNAcentral lists this ribosomal RNA (978 nucleotides) under Acinetobacter johnsonii. Its description in RNAcentral is "bacterial SSU rRNA". It matches the Rfam family "Bacterial small subunit ribosomal RNA", at positions 82 to 1062 of the family's 1533-position model. Lineage: Bacteria; Pseudomonadati; Pseudomonadota; Gammaproteobacteria; Moraxellales; Moraxellaceae. The record is from RNAcentral.
GCUACCUUACAUAGCGGCGGACGGGUGAGUAAUGCUUAGGAAUCUGCCUAUUAGUGGGGGACAACAUUCCGAAAGGAAUGCUAAUACCGCAUACGCCCUACGGGGGAAAGCAGGGGAUCUUCGGACCUUGCGCUAAUAGAUGAGCCUAAGUCAGAUUAGCUAGUUGGUGGGGUAAAGGCCUACCAAGGCGACGAUCUGUAGCGGGUCUGAGAGGAUGAUCCGCCACACUGGGACUGAGACACGGCCCAGACUCCUACGGGAGGCAGCAGUGGGGAAUAUUGGACAAUGGGCGAAAGCCUGAUCCAGCCAUGCCGCGUGUGUGAAGAAGGCCUUUUGGUUGUAAAGCACUUUAAGCGAGGAGGAGGCUACUUGGAUUAAUACUCUAGGAUAGUGGACGUUACUCGCAGAAUAAGCACCGGCUAACUCUGUGCCAGCAGCCGCGGUAAUACAGAGGGUGCGAGCGUUAAUCGGAUUUACUGGGCGUAAAGCGUGCGUAGGCGGCUUUUUAAGUCGGAUGUGAAAUCCCUGAACUUAGGAAUUGCAUUCGAUACUGGGAAGCUAGAGUAUGGGAGAGGAUGGUAGAAUUCCAGGUGUAGCGGUGAAAUGCGUAGAGAUCUGGAGGAAUACCGAUGGCGAAGGCAGCCAUCUGGCCUAAUACUGACGCUGAGGUACGAAAGCAUGGGGAGCAAACAGGAUUAGAUACCCUGGUAGUCCAUGCCGUAAACGAUGUCUACUAGCCGUUGGGGCCUUUGAGGCUUUAGUGCGCAGCUAACGCGAUAAGUAGACCGCCUGGAGGAGUACGGUCGCAAGACUAAAACUCAAAUGAAUUGACGGGGGCCCGCACAAGCAGUGGAGCAUGUGUUUAUUUCGAUGCAACGCGAAAACCUUACCUGUCUUGACAUAGUAAGAACUUUCCAGAAGAUGGAUUGGUGCCUUCGGAACUUAACAUACAGUGCCUGCAUGGCUGUCGUCAGCUCC